GGUCGCUUAGCUCAGUUGGUUAGAGCGUGGUGCUAAUAUGGCGGCAUUCAUAGAGUGCCUAUGCCUAGUUAACGCCAAGGUCGCGAGUUCGACCCUCGUAGUGACCA
Molecule: non-coding RNA, 107 nt
Organism: Phyllosticta citriasiana
Lineage: Eukaryota; Fungi; Ascomycota; Dothideomycetes; Botryosphaeriales; Phyllostictaceae
Source: the annotation of a GenBank genome assembly